CAUAUACUCCCUCCGUCCGGAAAUACUUGUCAUCAAAAUGAAUAAAAGGGGAUGUAUCUAGAUGUACAUUAGUUCCAGAUACAUCCUUUUUUAUCCAUUUUGAUGACAAGUAUUUUCGGACGGAGGGAGUACAAG
Molecule: non-coding RNA, 135 nt
Organism: Triticum aestivum (bread wheat)
Lineage: Eukaryota; Viridiplantae; Streptophyta; Magnoliopsida; Poales; Poaceae
Source: Rfam